AUAAUAGAUGCAAUCAUGAAUCAACAAAUGUGAGUCACUUUCAAACAUCUCUGUUUGAAGGAAGCAACAUUAGAAAAUGAACUAACAACUCUAAGGUAUUUGCAUGUUGGUUUAUUGAAGAGUCUCAAACAAGGAGAACCUAUGACUGUUAAAUAUUUCUUGCUGGCGUAUAGAUUAUAUUUGAAGAGAUGUAAGAAAUUUUAUAAAAUAAAGAAAUGAUUGAAAGUUCAACUCUCUCUUCGCAAAGCAUCAUUGUAAAAAGAAAUGCACUUAUUCCACUUUUCCCUUGUUAAUUCGAAGUGUAAUAACGGAUAAUUUGAAGGAAAUCUUACAUCCUGUACCAUCUAAUCGACAUUGCGCGAUCAAGCCGUUUUCAAUGAGCCGACGUUGCAUACGUUGAUCGCCGUCCAAUUAUCCCGCCAGAAGCUGUUUAAUCGAUUCGAUAAUAAUUUAACAAGCCUACCAAGCGAAUAUCCUCUUUUUGUCAUGCAUACCAUUGGUUACACAUGGAGGAGUUUGUUUGAAAUUUGAAGGUUCACUAAUUAGAAAUCAGAUGCAUGAAAAAUUGGAAACUUGAAGGUUAGGAAAUUCAGCAUUAAAGGUUUGAAAAAUUAUAAAUUUUAAAACUAGAAAUUUGUAGAGAUAAUUGGAAAAUAGAAAAAAUGGAAUACGGAAAAAAUUGAGAGCACGUGAGUUCACAUUAAACGAUUGAAUAUAUGACAUUCGAAUUUUUUCUUUUUUCCCGCGCGAACGACGGAAUGCGGACCGCGUCCUAAACCAAGGAUACAUCUCGGAAUCGCGUUGAUUCCAGUUUCCGCUUCGUCGCUCAGAUUCGCUCCGUGAAUCCUAGGAAGCUUGCCUCUCUAACGGACCAUUGAAUUUCAGCAAAAUUGUGCACGCUCCGUGGCGAGGAAACUUCGCGAUCGAUGGUGGAGCAACCGUUAGAUUCUAGAGAUACCAAGGUUCCACGGUUCUCUCGCUCGACUAUCGCGAUCCAUUUCUCGGUACUUUUCCAAAAAUAUACGCGUUCACAUUAUGUAAAUCUCAAGUAGCCAUAACUUCGUCGUCAUCUUGAAACUACUUCAACCCAUAAUGGCCGAAGAGGUUUUUUGGAGACCCUUAAUACUGAAGAGGUUACGAAGCUCUCUCGUGGUGAAACGUAACGGUGAAAAGUGAAACGGAAAGCUAGGUCGGUAUAAUUUGUUCAGUUCAAUUACAUAGAAGGCAGUUCGAAUUGAUAAUAGAAUCGUUUCACCUGGCUAGACUCGAGUGAAAUUCCUGGCAAAACUAUUGACCAAAAUGGCUGUCUCUUUUUUAUGUUCCUGUUCGAUGGUCGACAAGAAAAUUACGACUAACGGCACCUCAAGAAAAUCAACAAUAAAAAAUGCUCAUCGAGGCUUCUCCAAUUGAUAGCAGGCUCCUCGGGUAUUGCACGGAUCUCGCUGGUUCUUUUGCAUUCCCAAGUUUUAUCUUUGAAAUUUAUGGCCAAGAACGGGCAUUGAAUAAUGAUUUCACGCUAGCGGG
Long non-coding RNA from Megachile rotundata (alfalfa leafcutting bee), 1524 nucleotides. The record is from RefSeq and is a predicted model, not a curated record. NCBI's taxonomy places the organism in Eukaryota, Metazoa, Arthropoda, Insecta, Hymenoptera, Megachilidae.